This 465-nucleotide long non-coding RNA is filed under the name Volvox carteri. RNAcentral's name for it is "long non-coding RNA (VCAR_LNC003969)". The record is from RNAcentral. Lineage: Eukaryota; Viridiplantae; Chlorophyta; Chlorophyceae; Chlamydomonadales; Volvocaceae.
GCCGCGCCACACAUCCGCCUGUUUACCAUCGCACCCAUUGGGUACGAUGGUAGCCGCGCCACACAUCCGCCUGUUUACCAUCGCACCCAUUGGGUAUGAUGGUAGCCACGCCACACAUCCGCCUGUUUACCAUCGCACCCAUUGGGUACGAUGGUAGCCGCGCCACACAUCCGCCUGUUUACCAUCGCACCCAUUGGGUAUGAUGGUAGCCGCGCCACACAUCCGCCUGUUUACCAUCGCACCCAUUGGGUACGAUGGUAGCCGCGCCACACAUCCGCCUGUUUACCAUCGCACCCAUUGGGUAAGAUAGUAGCCGCGCCACACAUCCGCCUGUUUACCAUCGCACCCAUUGGGUACGAUGGUAGCCGUGCCACACAUCCGCCUGUUUACCAUCGCACCCAUUGGGUACGAUGGUAGCCGCGCCACACAUCCGCCUGUUUACCAUCGCACCCAUUGGGUACGAUG